RNAcentral lists this ribosomal RNA (567 nucleotides) under uncultured bacterium. RNAcentral describes it as "bacterial SSU rRNA". It matches the Rfam family "Bacterial small subunit ribosomal RNA", at positions 338 to 916 of the family's 1533-position model. The record is from RNAcentral.
CCUACGGGAGGCAGCAGUGGGGAAUAUUGCACAAUGGGCGGAAGCCUGAUGCAGCGACGCCGCGUGAGGGACGAAGGCCUUCGGGUUGUAAACCUCUUUCAGCAGGGACGAAGCGUGAGUGACGGUACCUGCAGAAGAAGCACCGGCUAACUACGUGCCAGCAGCCGCGGUAAUACGUAGGGUGCGAGCGUUGUCCGGAAUUACUGGGCGUAAAGAGUUCGUAGGCGGUUUGUCGCGUCGUUUGUGAAAACCCGGGGCUCAACUUCGGGCUUGCAGGCGAUACGGGCAGACUUGAGUGUUUCAGGGGAGACUGGAAUUCCUGGUGUAGCGGUGAAAUGCGCAGAUAUCAGGAGGAACACCGGUGGCGAAGGCGGGUCUCUGGGAAACAACUGACGCUGAGGAACGAAAGCGUGGGUAGCAAACAGGAUUAGAUACCCUGGUAGUCCACGCCGUAAACGGUGGGCGCUAGGUGUGGGUUCCUUCCACGGGAUCUGUGCCGUAGCUAACGCAUUAAGCGCCCCGCCUGGGGAGUACGGCCGCAAGGCUAAAACUCAAAGGAAUUGACGG